Molecule: long non-coding RNA, 1178 nt
Organism: Suricata suricatta (meerkat)
Lineage: Eukaryota; Metazoa; Chordata; Mammalia; Carnivora; Herpestidae
Exons: 2
Source: RefSeq, a predicted model, not a curated record
GUGUCAACAAUGUUGCAUGGAUGUAACCAGCCAACCCCAUCCAUGGGGGCCCUGACAGAGACAGACGCGGGCACAGAAGAGGGAGGAGAAGCCGGGGAAGGUUUGCUGCCCACGGUCAGGGCCAGCUGAAGACGCAGCUGUCACACAGCAUGAGGAGAGACCUCCCCCCCACCCCUGCGUUUCUGCACCUUGGUGUUGCCACCACACCUAGACUGUAACAUUUGCAAGAAAGCCUGUCUUAUCGGAAGUCACCUCCAUCUCACAUUUCUAGAACACUCCAGCCAAAGAGUGUAGAGAAACGUUCCUCUCAAGUACCAAGAGACUACCAUCUGAAAACAGAAAACAAGUUCCAACAGAUUUAAAAUGAUUCAAACCAACAUCAUUAGUCAUUAGGGAAAGUCAAAUUAAAACGUCAACGAUGACGUGCAUGCCUAUGUGAAUGGCUGACGUUAAGGAGACUGGCCACGCCGGGCACCCGAGGGUUCGGGAGGACGGAGAGAAGCCGGAGCUCUCAGGCACUGUGGUCGUGAAUGCGGGAUCACACAACCUCGCUGGAGAACCGUUUGGGAAUUCCCUUUGUUCGUGAACGAUCAGAGAAGCUUUAGUUGUUAUGGUCAAAAAAAUGGCAACAACCGAAACGUCCAUCAACAUAAAAAAGCAUAAACAAAUUGUGCUAUUCUGUGGGGGGGAGAAGCCGUGAGGUUAAUGCAUGCCUGGUCCUGGGGCUCCCUCUGGCUAUUCGUAAAGCUCCCAUCAGCCGCACGAGUGGGCAGGUGCGGGAGGGAGGGCAGCAACUCGCAAAAGGCUGACUACAGGUCAUUUCUGAGGACCACCCCCUUCUGGCGUCUGCACUUCUUAUGAUAAAGCACAUGGACACUGGGUUUUCCCUGCUGCUGUCAAAAAGCCCUCCUAGCUGCCCUGAGAUGUGCCAGCCGGCGCACCCCCAACGGCACCCACCCGAAGGGAGCAGCCAGGGCCUGAGGCGCCCAGAGCUCUCUGGCACAGACAGUGCCACCUGCCUCUGCACCGGAGGCGUGCGGCACAGCAGGCACCGACGCUCAAGACGCUGUUUCCAACUCUCCUUACUUAGGGAUGAGCAAAAACUAACUCAUUUUGCUAAAAUGAGAAAAUACUAAAUGUCAUGUAAUUUUCAAAGUUUAUAAACAGGAGUCAGGAAA